UACGGAGGGGGUUAGCGUUGUUCGGAAUUACUGGGCGUAAAGCGCGCGUAGGCGGAUAGAAAGUUGGGGGUGAAAUCCCGGGGCUCAACCCCGGAACUGCCUCCAAAACUACUAGUCUAGAGUUCGAGAGAGGUGAGUGGAAUUCCGAGUGUAGAGGUGAAAUUCGUAGAUAUUCGGAGGAACACCAGUGGCGAAGGCGGCUCACUGGCUCGAUACUGACGCUGAGGUGCGAAAGUGUGGGGAGCAAACAGG
RNAcentral lists this ribosomal RNA (252 nucleotides) under uncultured bacterium. RNAcentral's name for it is "partial 16S ribosomal RNA". It matches the Rfam family "Bacterial small subunit ribosomal RNA", at positions 524 to 776 of the family's 1533-position model. The record is from RNAcentral.